ACGCCGUGACUGCGCCACAUUGCAGGUUUGAGGGUACACCCCUCGACACGGCGU
Molecule: non-coding RNA, 54 nt
Filed under: Parascardovia denticolens F0305
Lineage: Bacteria; Bacillati; Actinomycetota; Actinomycetes; Bifidobacteriales; Bifidobacteriaceae
Also listed under: 1 other name
Source: RNAcentral